CAGACUUGGCUGUUCUAGAUUCAGAUUUCGAGACUACAGCUUCAUAUAAGCCAGAAUUCCUACUCCCUCCAUCAACUGCCGAAUCCAGCACAACUUGAGGUUGGGACUGAGGUUCAGGAUUCAGGAUAACACCUUCAUCCAAGCCAUAAUUCUUACUCCCUCCUGCAUCAACUGCAGGAUCCAGCACAACUUGAGGUUGGGACUGAGGUUCGGGAUUCGGGAUAACACCUUCAUCCAAGCCAGAAUUCUUACUCCCUCCUGCAUCAACUGCAGGAUCCAGCACAACUUGAGGUUGGGACUGAGGUUCGGGAUUCGGGAUAACACCUUCAUCCAAGCCAGAAUUCUUACUCCCUCCUGCAUCAACUGCAG
This 369-nucleotide long non-coding RNA is filed under the name Olea europaea (common olive). RNAcentral describes it as "long non-coding RNA (OEUR_LNC012809)". Lineage: Eukaryota; Viridiplantae; Streptophyta; Magnoliopsida; Lamiales; Oleaceae. The record is from RNAcentral.